This 634-nucleotide long non-coding RNA is filed under the name Androctonus crassicauda. The record is from RNAcentral. Lineage: Eukaryota; Metazoa; Arthropoda; Arachnida; Scorpiones; Buthidae.
AUUUUUUUCAGUACUUUUGGAGCCAAAAUAACAGCAAUAUUUAAGUUAUAAACAUAGCUUGCAUACAAAUUAUGUUAAUAAUUAGGAGGAAUGCUUGUAAUUCAUAAUGCUAAGUUACUUGGCUUUACAUCCAUCAACAUGGUACUAGUGGAAGACACACACAUACACAAUUAAACUAUUUAUUUUUGCAGAAUAUUCAUGAGGCUAUUGUUAUUCUUUUUCCUUUAGUAUCAGCACAAUGUAUCAUUCAGUUACCAUUCCAAAAUGAGGAGUACUAUACGUAUUGCAUGUGCCAUUUGUGUAUUUUCUGUUAGGGAAUUAAACAGUCAUUUUCAAUCAUCUUCCAUAUUUUAAUGAUUUCUUUUGGAAAUUCCUAAUCUGAUUUGUAUUGUUCAAGAAUGUAUCUUCAACACAAAGUAGGGUAUGAGUGGAUUUGAUAGUGUUUGGCCACUUAGAUCUCUGGACCUAAACCUUUUAGAUAAGGGCUGUCCAAUUAUAAUGACCCCAAGGGCCGCAACCAUCAUUAUUAGAGAUAUGGAGGGCCGCAGCUACAAAAAAGAGAGGAGAGGGGUUGACAUCUCUUCCCCUUUUUUUUGUAGCUGCGGUCUACACAAAAUAUAUAAACGCUUUUUCG